CCCUGGUUAGCUCAAUUGGUAGAGCGCUCCACCUGUAAUGGAGAGGUCCCGGGUUCGAUACCCGGACCAGGCG
This is a non-coding RNA of Ixodes scapularis (black-legged tick), 73 nucleotides long. NCBI's taxonomy places the organism in Eukaryota, Metazoa, Arthropoda, Arachnida, Ixodida, Ixodidae. The record is from Rfam.